GACGAACGCUGGCGGCGUGCUUAACACAUGCAAGUCGAGCGGUAAGGCCCUUUCGGGGGUACACGAGCGGCGAACGGGUGAGUAACACGUGGGUGACCUGCCCUCAGCUCGUGGGAUAAGCCUGGGAAACCGGGUCUAAUACCGGAUAUGACUCCAUGACGCAUGUUGUGGGGUGGAAAGCCUUGUGCGGCUGAGGAUGGGCCCGCGGCCUA
RNAcentral lists this ribosomal RNA (212 nucleotides) under uncultured bacterium. Its description in RNAcentral is "partial 16S ribosomal RNA". It matches the Rfam family "Bacterial small subunit ribosomal RNA", at positions 28 to 240 of the family's 1533-position model. The record is from RNAcentral.